UUCCCCUAGUAACUGCGAGUGAAGCGGGAAAAGCUCAAAUUUAAAAUCUGGCAGUCUUUGGCUGUCCGAGUUGUAAUCUAGAGAAGUAUUAUCCGCGCUGGACCGUGUACAAGUCUCCUGGAAUGGAGCGUCAUAGAGGGUGAGAAUCCCGUCUUUGACACGGACUGCCAGGGCUUUGUGAUAUGCUCUCAAAGAGUCGAGUUGUUUGGGAAUGCAGCUCAAAAUGGGUGGUAAAUUCCAUCUAAAGCUAAAUAUUGGCGAGAGACCGAUAGCGAACAAGUACCGUGAGGGAAAGAUGAAAAGAACUUUGGAAAGAGAGUUAAACAGUACGUGAAAUUGCUGAAAGGGAAACGCUUGAAGUCAGUCGCGUUGGCCAGGGAUCAACCUUGCUUUUUUGCUUGGCUUACUUUCUGGUCGAUGGGUCAGCAUCAAUUUUGACCGGUGGAAAAAGUUCAAAGGAAUGUGGCAUCUUCGGAUGUGUUAUAGCCUUUGUUCACAUACAUUGGUUGGGAUUGAGGAACUCAGCACGCCGCAAGGCCGGGUUUUUAACCACGUACGUGCUUAGGAUGCUGGCAUAAUGGCUUUAAUCGACCCGUCUUGAAACACGGACCAAGGAGUCUAACAUGCCUGCGAGUAUUUGGGUGAAAAACCCGAGUGCGUAAUGAAAGUGAAAGUUGAGAUCCCUGUCGUGGGGAGCAUUGACGCCCGGAUCUGACCUUUUGUGACGAUUCUGCGGUAGAGCAUGUAUGUUGGGACCCGAAAGAUGGUGAACUAUGCCUGAAUAGGGUGAAGCCAGAGGAAACUCUGGUGGAGGCUCGUAGCGAUUCUGACGUGCAAAUCGAUCGUCAAAUUUGGGUAUAGGGGCGAAAGACUAAUC
Molecule: ribosomal RNA, 877 nt
Filed under: Laccaria bicolor
Lineage: Eukaryota; Fungi; Basidiomycota; Agaricomycetes; Agaricales; Hydnangiaceae
Description: LSU rRNA
Rfam family: Eukaryotic large subunit ribosomal RNA
Source: RNAcentral